This 314-nucleotide unclassified non-coding RNA is filed under the name plant metagenome. Its description in RNAcentral is "partial contains 5.8S ribosomal RNA, internal transcribed spacer 2, and large subunit ribosomal RNA". The stretch from base 1 to 105 matches the Rfam family "5.8S ribosomal RNA", at positions 50 to 154 of the family's 154-position model. The record is from RNAcentral.
GAAAUGCGAUAAUUAAUGUGAAUUGCAGAAUUCAGUGAAUCAUCGAGUCUUUGAACGCACAUUGCGCCCCCUGGUAUUCCGGGGGGCAUGCCUGUCCGAGCGUCAUUGCUGCCCUCAAGCACGGCUUGUGUGUUGGGCUUCCGUCCCUGGCAACGGGGACGGGCCCAAAAGGCAGUGGCGGCACCAUGUCUGGUCCUCGAGUGUAUGGGGCUUUGUCACCCGCUCCCGUAGGUCCAGCUGGCAGCUAGCCUCGCAACCAAUCAUUUUAACCAGGUUGACCUCGGAUCAGGUAGAGAUACCCGCUGAACUUAAGC